ACACGGAUAAGGUAUAUAUUUAUUAAAUAUUGAUAAAAUAAAAUUAAUGAUUUUAUUUUACUUUAAUGUAGAUAUAUGUUUUACAAUAUCAACAAGUAACCGCAUAUACUUUCCUCUGAUGUAGAACAUUAUAAAGUCGUGACUCGUGGUACAGUUUAUUUCUAAAUGGUGCCGUAUGUACACUUUCAAUGCAUCGUAGUUUGACCAAACUUAGACGACGUAAAUUCGGUAGUUAUGGCAUGUAAGACCGACCGAAACAUAUUGCACUGUGGUUUUUUCGGCAAGCGUGUAUAGUUAUGGUAUAUUAUACCUAUUACCAACGACCAGUAUUGUACAGUUUAUUUAUUGUCGACGCGUCUAUUUGAAAUAAAAUCAUAAUUGUGUGUCGUUUGUCGCUUAAAGCACGCGGACUUCAGCGAGAAUCGUUAUUACCCGUCACUCCGCGGUGUCCCUUACACGACUUACAUUAUACAUAUAGGUAUUUAUAUUCGUGAUACCUGCGCGACGAGAGAUUUAUAAUAUGUUGUUGCGAGUGUCAUUCGACAUUAUGUGUAGCAAUAAUAAUGACGAUUAUAGUAUAGUAUAGAUAAUGUACAUAAUAUUAUAUUCGUCUCCUCUUAUUAUUCGGAACACACUGCAGUAUUGUUCGCCCGGUGGUUCAGAGAGGCGGUCGUAUACCGAUCUAUUAUUGUUUGGAAAUAUAUAUUAUUAUAAUAUAUUAUAUCUGGUAGGAUAAAAGACGUCCGUUGAAAUGACGCGCGCCCGGCAGGGUGCAGCAGUAUACGACGCGGCUGACCUUUUCAAAAACGUCUGACAAUGCAGCCUGCGUCGUCGUAUUAUAUUAUGCGUUGUAUAUAAUAUGUAUACGUCGGAGUGAUGUAGUAGUAGUAGAAGUAGUAGUGGUAGUAACUAGUAGUAGUAAUAUGGAGAGUGAUACAACUUGCAAAGCCAAUGCGCAUUUGAGCACGUCGUAUACUCGUAUAAUAGUAUAAUAAUAAACACAAUAUUUCAAACCGUCGGGCGGCGGCGAGGAGAAAGCGAGUGGGAAAAAAAAAAAAACAAAACCGAAUACCCGAAAAAAAAAAGGGGGAUGAAUAAAAUAUGAUCAUUGGCCGCGCGGUAACAAUAAUGACACGUUGCACGCGGCGGAACCAGGUGUGGCCAUGGUCCUGGAGAAUGGGGUUGUUAAGGACUCGGGUGCGGUGGGCGGCGGGGGGGCGAGCAAGUCGGCGGCGGACGCAGUAUCGUCCGGGAGAGGCAGUUGAUGGGAUCUUCGAUACGCCUGCGGGCUCCGGUUGGUGCCCCGCCUCCGUUUGGACGAACAGCACUUUACCGCCUGUCGCCGGUGAGAGGCACCUGUGUGUGCAUGUGUGCGUUCACGUGGAAGAAGAACGAUUUACCUAUAACUACCAUCGUGCCUACGUAAAAAAUUAUGCAGCUGCAACAGGUACAAAGAAAGCCUAUACGCGGAGAGUGAGAGAGAGAGAGGACGAGGGAGACGCGCACCGCGAUGGAGACGGCUACAUACAUUCAGCGACUGACUAUACUUGCAACCAGAUAACUUGGACCAGAAUUUCACUGAAAAUACGCGACUGAAGUCUGAAAUUCUCAAUUGUCGGCCGUCAGUAUUAAAUCGUGUCGAUUUAUCAAGAGUUCUUUUACGAUAGACAGUGGAGAAAAAAGUUGCCGACUACGAUCCGUGACGGACCGCACGUCCUCCGAAUAUCUUGGCACGGCUUUAAUAGACAUUAAUAAUAGUAG
This is a long non-coding RNA of Myzus persicae (green peach aphid), 1761 nucleotides long. RefSeq lists it as uncharacterized. The record is from RefSeq and is a predicted model, not a curated record. The transcript has 3 exons. Lineage: Eukaryota; Metazoa; Arthropoda; Insecta; Hemiptera; Aphididae.